CCUACGGGAGGCAGCAGUGAGGAAUAUUGGUCAAUGGGCGCAAGCCUGAACCAGCCAAGUCGCGUGAGGGAUGACGGUCCUAUGGAUUGUAAACCUCUUUUGUCGGGGAGCAAGGCCCGCCACGUGUAGCGGGUAGGAGAGUACCCGAAGAAAAAGCAUCGGCUAACUCCGUGCCAGCAGCCGCGGUAAUACGGAGGAUGCGAGCGUUAUCCGGAUUUUUUGGGUUUAAAGGGUGCGUAGGCGGAAGGUAAGGUCAGCGGUAAAAUUUCGGGGUUAAACCCCGGCCUGCCGUUGAAACUGGUGUUCUUGAGUGAGCGAGAAGUAUGUGGAAUGCGGCGUGUAGCGGUGAAAUGCAUAGAUAUCACGCAGAACUCCGAUUGCGAAGGCAGCAUACCGGCGCUCAACUGACGCUGAGGCACGAAAGCGUGGGGAUCGAACAGGAUUAGAUACCCCAGUAGUC
RNAcentral lists this ribosomal RNA (460 nucleotides) under uncultured bacterium. RNAcentral describes it as "partial 16S ribosomal RNA". It matches the Rfam family "Bacterial small subunit ribosomal RNA", at positions 338 to 795 of the family's 1533-position model. The record is from RNAcentral.